CCUACGGGUGGCAGCAGUGAGGAAUAUUGGUCAAUGGACGAGAGUCUGAACCAGCCAAGUCGCGUGAAGGAUGACGGCCCUAUGUGUUGUAAACUUCUUUUGUAUGGGAAUAAAAUGUUCCACGUGUGGGAUUUUGUAUGUACCAUAUGAAUAAGGAUCGGCUAACUCCGUGCCAGCAGCCGCGGUAAUACGGAGGAUCCGAGCGUUAUCCGGAUUUAUUGGGUUUAAAGGGAGCGUAGGGGGAUUGUUAAGUCAGGUGUGAAAGUUUGCGGCUCAACCGUAAAAUUGCAGUUGAAACUGGCAGUCUGGAGUGCAGUAGAGGUGGGCGGAAGUCGUGGUGUAGCGGUGAAAUGCUUAGAUAUUACGAAGAACUCCGAUUGCGAAGGCAGCUCACUGGACUGCAACUGACACUGAGGCUCGAAAGUGUGGGUAUCAAACAGGAUUAGAUACCCGAGUAGUC
RNAcentral lists this ribosomal RNA (460 nucleotides) under uncultured bacterium. RNAcentral's name for it is "partial 16S ribosomal RNA". It matches the Rfam family "Bacterial small subunit ribosomal RNA", at positions 338 to 795 of the family's 1533-position model. The record is from RNAcentral.